This 253-nucleotide ribosomal RNA is filed under the name uncultured bacterium. Its description in RNAcentral is "partial 16S ribosomal RNA". It matches the Rfam family "Bacterial small subunit ribosomal RNA", at positions 524 to 776 of the family's 1533-position model. The record is from RNAcentral.
UACGUAGGGUGCGAGCGUUAAUCGGACUUACUGGGCGUAAAGCGUGCGCAGGCGGUUUUAUAAGCCAGAUGUGAAAGCCCCGGGCUCAACCUGGGAAUGGCAUUUGGGACUGUAAGGCUGGAGUAUGGCAGAGGAGACUAGAAUUCCUGGUGUAGCAGUGAAAUGCGUAGAUAUCAGGAGGAAUACCGAUGGCGAAGGCAGGUCUCUGGGCCAAUACUGACGCUCAUGCACGAAAGCGUGGGGAGCAAACAGG